Chlorocebus sabaeus (green monkey) is the source of this 110-nucleotide unclassified non-coding RNA. It matches the Rfam family "Y RNA". From Rfam's summary of the family: Y RNAs are components of the Ro ribonucleoprotein particle (Ro RNP), in association with Ro60 and La proteins. NCBI's taxonomy places the organism in Eukaryota, Metazoa, Chordata, Mammalia, Primates, Cercopithecidae. The record is from Ensembl.
GGCUGGUCUGAAGGGAGUGAGUUAUCUCAUUUGAUUGCUCAUGCAGUUACAGAUCAAACACCUUGUUCUACUCUUACCCCCUUCUCACUACUACACUUGACUAGUCUUAA